Molecule: RNA transcript, 1417 nt
Organism: Brachypodium distachyon (stiff brome)
Lineage: Eukaryota; Viridiplantae; Streptophyta; Magnoliopsida; Poales; Poaceae
Exons: 2
Source: RefSeq, a predicted model, not a curated record
AUUGGAAACAGAGCAGAGCAGAGACUUGGGAGGAAAACUAACUAGGUCUCUCUCGCAUUAUCCUUUCCGUCGAACCGAAUCGAGGAGAGAGCGAGAGCGGACGGCGGCCAUGGAUAAUAUCGAGAUGAUCACCCUGGGUUUGGAGAUGGCGGACACAAGGAUCACCGGCCGGUUGUCGGGGUCGGCGAAGAGGAAAGCUGCGAGGAAGAAGAAGCCGCCGCCGUUGUCGGAUAGCGACAGGAACAAGCAGCAGCAGCGUCCACGCUAUGUGUAUGUGGCUGAGCCUCUGAAUGACGAGGAGCCUAACGAGGAAGACGAGAUUGUCGACUACCGUGAUCUCUGGGACUGCCUCUUCUCCGACCACUUCGGUUCCUUUGAAGACGAAACUUCUCUUGGUCCCAUGCGCCACACGUUUGGACCCAUCCCAUGGUACGCCGUCCCUGAUUGCACUCUGCAGAUCUUCUACAUCCGAGUCGCCGACAUCGACAGAGGCGGCCUCGAGUGGCCAUUGCACGUCCAUGGCUUCGUCGCCAGCAGGGACUCCAUGGACAACAAUCGCAACUUCCUCUUCAGACGCACAAGGGAUCACUGCCAAACCCUCACCCAGGAGAACCCAUGCUUGCUGUUAACUGGUCCGUCUCGAGCCAUUUUGCUGAUCGAUCCCGUCUCCUUCGAAGUUCAGCUCAAAGUGAAGAGCAAAACAGAGCCUGAACAGGAUGAGCUCUUGGCUUUCAGAAUCUGGCAGUUCCACCAAGCGUAUCAGUCUGAAGAGGUGCUCUCUCAGUGUGACCCUGGCAACUGCUGCUCGCUCCAGCUUGGAUACGCACCACUCAAGCCGUCGAUCGAGGCAACCGUCACUGUCCGACUCGUUGAUCAACAACAAGAAGAAGAAAAAGAAGAAGAAGAAGAAGAAAAGGAAGAAGAAGAAAAAGAAGAAGAAGAAGGGCCAUGCCAUCUUCUUGGAGGACUCCAUGUUACCUGCUGCACCGCCAGCAUGAAACAAGCGUCGAUGCUGUUCUUGCCGAGAUGGGAAAGUUCCCGUGGAUGCAAAAAACGGUCUGGUCGAGCUUUCGAGGCGUGUUGUUUCUGUGGAAUCAGGAGGGCAACUGCUGGUUUCUGUGGUGGCUACUCGGUCUCGGAUGGGUGUUGAAGAUGAAGAAGAAGGCAAUUCGGUUGCAAAGGAUACCGCUGUAUUUGCACAAAGGAAUGCUGGCAUGAGUUGUUGCAUGUGCGAUCUUGGUUUCUGCAAGAUGGAAGUCACUGUUGCUUGGUCUCUUCUUUCUACCAUCACAGACAUGUGGCUUGCCGCUGGCCACCACGACUAGCAAAUUUGCAAUGCCAAUGCAGCAACAAAUGUACAGUAGCAGAUAUCACGAUUACUUUGGAGAAGCACACAACACAGAUAAACUGAAACAAA